GUGUAUUUCCUGUAUCUCAGAUCAUAUCUAUGAUUGCUCACAUGGUGAGGUUACCUCAGGUCACCUCUGUAUGAUUGAACAUUGUGAGGUUACCUAAUAUUACCUCUGUAUUGCUGUACAUGGUGAGGUUACUCUGUAUUACUGCACAUACUUGUAUUACCACACUUUGUAUAAACUUUACAAAACACUAUUUUUUUAGUUUUCCUCAGGGC
This 212-nucleotide long non-coding RNA is filed under the name Mytilus galloprovincialis (Mediterranean mussel). The record is from RNAcentral. Lineage: Eukaryota; Metazoa; Mollusca; Bivalvia; Mytilida; Mytilidae.